This 958-nucleotide long non-coding RNA is filed under the name Gouania willdenowi (blunt-snouted clingfish). RNAcentral's name for it is "lncRNA (ENSGWIG00000000372.1)". The record is from RNAcentral. Lineage: Eukaryota; Metazoa; Chordata; Actinopteri; Blenniiformes; Gobiesocidae.
CGUUGACAGUUUAUCAGACAAGAAGUCAUUUGACCACCUCAAAUCUAUCAGACAGCGAUGACCUGUUUGCUUUGGCUUUCUCCGCUGUUGAUACACGUCUACAUGAUAGGGGCCAUAAGAGAAGAAGUAAAGUGCAUAUCACAGCCAAGCAGACAGAAUUGGAAAAAAGUAGGGCAAACUACUGUUCUUUCAUGCACAGUCAACCAUCACUGUCGGACCGCAGGCUUGCACUACGACUGGUUCGUAUUCAAAGAAAAUGCCCAUCUUCGUAUCAACCAAUCGAGUGACAAGUACAGAUUGGAUGGAGCAUCUUUACACAUAAAGUCACUUCAUACCAAUGACAGUGGAGUGUACCACUGUGCUGCAGCACCUCCUCGAGCCUCAGGAUGCUGCACACAGUACGUUGGGCAAGGGGAAACACUUACAGUUAGAGAUGUUAAAAUAAUGGUGAGGUACAUUCUUGUGGUAUUAUCUAUGGUUCUGUUGGCCAUCUACAGCAUAGGGAUACUGACACUUUUCAUUCUGAAGAAGUGUGGAUGCCGAGCAAGUUUCUGCAGAAAGAUGCCCAAAUCACCAGAGAACAGGAAAACUAGUUUCAGCAAAGUGUUGGAAGAAAUGGACAGGAAAAGAAACCGGAAGGAAAACAAUGACAGACAAAGUGAAAAUUGUUCUGAAGUUGAGGCAACACACGAUGGUUUGGAAAACUUCAAUGAUGACGUCUAUCAAAACAUCUGAGAGUCGUUUACAGGAUGUUAUUUCACAGUCGCAACUGGAAAAGAACUACCAGCCAAUUCCACUUUUACACGACGAUGUUUUUAAGUGACAAGAGAAAUUAACUCAUUUUAAGGAACCAAAGCUCAACCUUUAGUAUUUUACGACUGACUGCAGUUUCUGUCAGUGACGUAACAUUAACUCCACUUAUCACAAGCGUUCCUAGUAUUUUGUGUUAGUAAUGAUG